This is a non-coding RNA of Potamilus streckersoni, 77 nucleotides long. NCBI's taxonomy places the organism in Eukaryota, Metazoa, Mollusca, Bivalvia, Unionida, Unionidae. The record is from the annotation of a GenBank genome assembly.
GACCGCUCAGGUGGCCUAGUGCUUAGAACGUCCGCCUCAGAUGCGGGAGGUCGCAGGUUCGAACCCCGGCCGAGUCA